AUUCUGAUAUUAUAGUCGAUUAAGUUUUUUUUUAAAGCAAUUACUUUUCCGGAUAUAUAAAUACUUAGCAGCACUCAUCUUUGAUAUCUGCUUAAAACUUUUUCGCAAUAUGAUGCACCUUCUGCUGUUUGUGCUUUGUCUUAUCGUAGGGCUGACUUCAACCGUAGAUGGGUCUUGUUUUAUGAUUCCGCCAAAAGAAGAUUCUUUAGAUUGUAUCUACAAAGGAAGAAUAAUAAAAGAUGAUAAAAGUUAUACCGAAAAAUGUAUUAGCUGUAGCUGUAGUAAAGGAAACAUGCAAUGCUGCUCUAUCGGCAUGCGCAUCUCUAGCAAACCUGCUGAUUGUAAAGUGGUACCUGAUGGACCUUGUUCGCAAAAGGUUGUCCUUAUUAGUGACGAAAAUAAGCCCUGUCCAGGAGGAUUCUCCAUGGUUGGGCGUUGAAUUUGAAUAUAUGACCUAUUUUAUUUAAUACUGUAGUUAUAAAAUUGUUUAUGAAAUUGUGUGUAAUGAUGUUAAUAAGCCUGUAUAACUUCUA
Molecule: long non-coding RNA, 533 nt
Organism: Mytilus californianus (California mussel)
Lineage: Eukaryota; Metazoa; Mollusca; Bivalvia; Mytilida; Mytilidae
Exons: 3
Source: RefSeq, a predicted model, not a curated record